CCCUUAGAUGUUCUGGGCUGCACGCGCGCUACACUGAAGCGUUCAACGAGUAUUCACCUUGCCCGGGAGGGUUGGGUAAUCUUUUGAAAACGCUUCGUGAUGGGGAUAGAUUAUUGCAAUUAUUAAUCUUCAACGAGGAAUGCCUAGUAAGCGUGAUUCAUCAAAUCGCGUUGAUUACGUCCCUGCCCUUUGUACACACCGCCCGUCGCUCCUACCGAUUGAGUGUGUUGGUGAGGAGUUCGGAUUGGCUCUUAGUGGUGGUUCGCCACCACCUAGAGCUGAGAAGUUCUCCAAACCGCCCCACUUAGAGGAAGGAGAAGUCGUAACA
Molecule: ribosomal RNA, 328 nt
Filed under: uncultured eukaryote
Lineage: Eukaryota
Description: partial 18S ribosomal RNA
Rfam family: Eukaryotic small subunit ribosomal RNA
Source: RNAcentral